UGAGCUCAUUUUUCUCAUUAUAAAUAACGGUCAUUCCUCCUUUCUUUGGUACCACCUAUACUGGGCAUACCCAUGAACUGUCAGAGAUAGGAGAAGUAAUUCCAGCUUCAAGUAUCUUUAGUACCUCUUUUCUCACUUCCUCUUUCAUUUUUGGAUUUUAUCUCCUCUGAGGUUGAGCCACUGGUUUGUAAUUGUCUUCCAUGAAUAUUCUACGCAUGCAAUAAGUUGGGCUUAUGCCUUUGAGAUCUGAGAUUGACCAUCCA
Molecule: long non-coding RNA, 263 nt
Filed under: Vigna radiata
Lineage: Eukaryota; Viridiplantae; Streptophyta; Magnoliopsida; Fabales; Fabaceae
Description: long non-coding RNA (VRAD_LNC017019)
Source: RNAcentral